This 2904-nucleotide ribosomal RNA is filed under the name Escherichia coli. Its description in RNAcentral is "23S ribosomal RNA". It matches the Rfam family "Bacterial large subunit ribosomal RNA". Lineage: Bacteria; Pseudomonadati; Pseudomonadota; Gammaproteobacteria; Enterobacterales; Enterobacteriaceae. The record is from RNAcentral.
GGUUAAGCGACUAAGCGUACACGGUGGAUGCCCUGGCAGUCAGAGGCGAUGAAGGACGUGCUAAUCUGCGAUAAGCGUCGGUAAGGUGAUAUGAACCGUUAUAACCGGCGAUUUCCGAAUGGGGAAACCCAGUGUGUUUCGACACACUAUCAUUAACUGAAUCCAUAGGUUAAUGAGGCGAACCGGGGGAACUGAAACAUCUAAGUACCCCGAGGAAAAGAAAUCAACCGAGAUUCCCCCAGUAGCGGCGAGCGAACGGGGAGCAGCCCAGAGCCUGAAUCAGUGUGUGUGUUAGUGGAAGCGUCUGGAAAGGCGCGCGAUACAGGGUGACAGCCCCGUACACAAAAAUGCACAUGCUGUGAGCUCGAUGAGUAGGGCGGGACACGUGGUAUCCUGUCUGAAUAUGGGGGGACCAUCCUCCAAGGCUAAAUACUCCUGACUGACCGAUAGUGAACCAGUACCGUGAGGGAAAGGCGAAAAGAACCCCGGCGAGGGGAGUGAAAAAGAACCUGAAACCGUGUACGUACAAGCAGUGGGAGCACGCUUAGGCGUGUGACUGCGUACCUUUUGUAUAAUGGGUCAGCGACUUAUAUUCUGUAGCAAGGUUAACCGAAUAGGGGAGCCGAAGGGAAACCGAGUCUUAACUGGGCGUUAAGUUGCAGGGUAUAGACCCGAAACCCGGUGAUCUAGCCAUGGGCAGGUUGAAGGUUGGGUAACACUAACUGGAGGACCGAACCGACUAAUGUUGAAAAAUUAGCGGAUGACUUGUGGCUGGGGGUGAAAGGCCAAUCAAACCGGGAGAUAGCUGGUUCUCCCCGAAAGCUAUUUAGGUAGCGCCUCGUGAAUUCAUCUCCGGGGGUAGAGCACUGUUUCGGCAAGGGGGUCAUCCCGACUUACCAACCCGAUGCAAACUGCGAAUACCGGAGAAUGUUAUCACGGGAGACACACGGCGGGUGCUAACGUCCGUCGUGAAGAGGGAAACAACCCAGACCGCCAGCUAAGGUCCCAAAGUCAUGGUUAAGUGGGAAACGAUGUGGGAAGGCCCAGACAGCCAGGAUGUUGGCUUAGAAGCAGCCAUCAUUUAAAGAAAGCGUAAUAGCUCACUGGUCGAGUCGGCCUGCGCGGAAGAUGUAACGGGGCUAAACCAUGCACCGAAGCUGCGGCAGCGACGCUGAUGCGUUGUUGGGUAGGGGAGCGUUCUGUAAGCCUGUGAAGGUGUGCUGUGAGGCAUGCUGGAGGUAUCAGAAGUGCGAAUGCUGACAUAAGUAACGAUAAAGCGGGUGAAAAGCCCGCUCGCCGGAAGACCAAGGGUUCCUGUCCAACGUUAAUCGGGGCAGGGUGAGUCGACCCCUAAGGCGAGGCCGAAAGGCGUAGUCGAUGGGAAACAGGUUAAUAUUCCUGUACUUGGUGUUACUGCGAAGGGGGGACGGAGAAGGCUAUGUUGGCCGGGCGACGGUUGUCCCGGUUUAAGCGUGUAGGCUGGUUUUCCAGGCAAAUCCGGAAAAUCAAGGCUGAGGCGUGAUGACGAGGCACUACGGUGCUGAAGCAACAAAUGCCCUGCUUCCAGGAAAAGCCUCUAAGCAUCAGGUAACAUCAAAUCGUACCCCAAACCGACACAGGUGGUCAGGUAGAGAAUACCAAGGCGCUUGAGAGAACUCGGGUGAAGGAACUAGGCAAAAUGGUGCCGUAACUUCGGGAGAAGGCACGCUGAUAUGUAGGUGAAGCGACUUGCUCGUGGAGCUGAAAUCAGUCGAAGAUACCAGCUGGCUGCAACUGUUUAUUAAAAACACAGCACUGUGCAAACACGAAAGUGGACGUAUACGGUGUGACGCCUGCCCGGUGCCGGAAGGUUAAUUGAUGGGGUUAGCGCAAGCGAAGCUCUUGAUCGAAGCCCCGGUAAACGGCGGCCGUAACUAUAACGGUCCUAAGGUAGCGAAAUUCCUUGUCGGGUAAGUUCCGACCUGCACGAAUGGCGUAAUGAUGGCCAGGCUGUCUCCACCCGAGACUCAGUGAAAUUGAACUCGCUGUGAAGAUGCAGUGUACCCGCGGCAAGACGGAAAGACCCCGUGAACCUUUACUAUAGCUUGACACUGAACAUUGAGCCUUGAUGUGUAGGAUAGGUGGGAGGCUUAGAAGUGUGGACGCCAGUCUGCAUGGAGCCGACCUUGAAAUACCACCCUUUAAUGUUUGAUGUUCUAACGUUGACCCGUAAUCCGGGUUGCGGACAGUGUCUGGUGGGUAGUUUGACUGGGGCGGUCUCCUCCUAAAGAGUAACGGAGGAGCACGAAGGUUGGCUAAUCCUGGUCGGACAUCAGGAGGUUAGUGCAAUGGCAUAAGCCAGCUUGACUGCGAGCGUGACGGCGCGAGCAGGUGCGAAAGCAGGUCAUAGUGAUCCGGUGGUUCUGAAUGGAAGGGCCAUCGCUCAACGGAUAAAAGGUACUCCGGGGAUAACAGGCUGAUACCGCCCAAGAGUUCAUAUCGACGGCGGUGUUUGGCACCUCGAUGUCGGCUCAUCACAUCCUGGGGCUGAAGUAGGUCCCAAGGGUAUGGCUGUUCGCCAUUUAAAGUGGUACGCGAGCUGGGUUUAGAACGUCGUGAGACAGUUCGGUCCCUAUCUGCCGUGGGCGCUGGAGAACUGAGGGGGGCUGCUCCUAGUACGAGAGGACCGGAGUGGACGCAUCACUGGUGUUCGGGUUGUCAUGCCAAUGGCACUGCCCGGUAGCUAAAUGCGGAAGAGAUAAGUGCUGAAAGCAUCUAAGCACGAAACUUGCCCCGAGAUGAGUUCUCCCUGACUCCUUGAGAGUCCUGAAGGAACGUUGAAGACGACGACGUUGAUAGGCCGGGUGUGUAAGCGCAGCGAUGCGUUGAGCUAACCGGUACUAAUGAACCGUGAGGCUUAACCUU